CAGGAGCAUCAGGUAUGCAGAGGGUUUGAUCCUGGCUCCAGAUUGAACGCUGGCGGGAUGCUACACAUGCAAGUCGAACGGCAGCACGGACUUCGGUCUGGUGGCGAGUGGCGAACAGGUGAGUAAUGUAUCGGAACGUGCCUAGUAGCGGGGGAUAACUACGCGAAAGCGUAGCUAAUACCACAUACGCCCUUCGAGGGGAAAGCGGGGGACCUUCGGGCCUCGCACUAUUAGAGCGGCCGAUAUCGGAUUAGCUAGUUGGUGGGGUAACGGCUCACCAAGGCGACGAUCGUAGCUGGUUUGAAGACGACCAGCCACACUGGGACACGAGACACGGCCCAGACUCCUACGGGAGGCAGCAGUGGGGAAUUUUGGACAAUGGGGGAAACCCUGAUCCAGCCAUCCCGCGUGUGCGAUGAAGGCCUUCGGGUUGUAAAGCACUUUUGGCAGGAAAGAAACGGCACGGGAUAAUACCCCGUGCAACUGUACCUGCAGAAUAAGCACCGGCUAACUACGUGCCAGCAGCCGCGGUAAUACGUAGGGUGCAAGCGUUAAUCGGAAUUACUGGGCGUAAAGCGUGCGCAGGCGGUUCGGAAGAAAGAUGUGAAAUCCGGAGCUUAACUUUGGAACUGCAUUUUUAACUACCGAGCUAGAGUGUGUCAGAGGGAGGUGGAAUUCCACGUGUAGCAGUGAAAUGCGUAGAUAUGCGGAGGAGCACCGAUGGCGGGCAGCCUCCUGGGAUAACACUGACGCCCAUGCACGAAAGCGUGGGGAGCAAACAGGAUUGGAUACCUGGUAGUCCACGCCCUAAACGAUGUCAACUAGCUGUUGGGGCCUUCGGGCCUUGGUAGCGCAGCUAACGCGUGAGUUGACCGCCUGGGGAGUACAGUCACUUAAGAUUAAAACUCAAAGGAAUUGACGGGACACACAAGCGGUGGAUGAUGUGGAUUAAUUCGAUGCAACGCGAAAAACCUUACCUACCCUUGACAUGUCUGGAAUCCCGAAGAGAUUUGGGAGUGCUCGCAAGAGAACCGGAACACAGGUGCUGCAUAGCGGCUGUCGUCAGCUCGUGUCGUGAGAUGUUGGGUUAAGUCCCGCAACGAGCGCAACCCUUGUCAUUAGUUGCUACGAAGGGCACUCUAAUGAGACUGCCGGUGACAAACCGGAGAAGGUGGGGAUGACGUCAAGUCCUCAUGGCCCUUAUGGGUAGGGCUUCACACGUCAUACAAUGGUCGGGACAGAGGUGCGCCAACCCGCAGAGGCAAUCCCAGAAACCCGAUCGUAGUCCGGAUCGUAGUCUGCAACUCGACUGCGUGAAGUCGGAAUCGCUAGCAAUCGCGGAUCGGCAUGUCGCGGUGAAUACGUUCCGGGUCUUGUACACACCGCCCGUCACACCAUGGGAGUGGGUUUUACCGGAAGUAGUUAGCCUAACCGUAAGGAGGCGAUUACCACGGUAGGAUUCAUGACUGGGGUGAAGUCGUAACAAGGUAG
This 1491-nucleotide ribosomal RNA is filed under the name uncultured Bordetella sp. Its description in RNAcentral is "partial 16S-23S ribosomal RNA intergenic spacer". It matches the Rfam family "Bacterial small subunit ribosomal RNA". The record is from RNAcentral. Lineage: Bacteria; Pseudomonadati; Pseudomonadota; Betaproteobacteria; Burkholderiales; Alcaligenaceae.